UCCAAACAGAAUAGCCUUACAAGAUGCUUUCUAGUCCAUAAUACUGUUCCCAUACUAUUCACAACUAUUACAGUUUUACAAGUGAGAAUUAAUCACAUAAUUCAACAACUAUAUUUCUAAAAUAUGUUACUGAAAUAUAUGGUAUUUCUACUUUUUAAAAUGAGCUGUUUCUAAGGGCAAGUUACAAAAUACAUUAUGCUCUACUUCUUUAGAUCAAUUCCCCUUUUUCGAUAUCUAAUGCAGAAACAACAUUCAAUAACUACAGUAUGUUGUUUUUAAAAAAAGGUGUUAUGUUGGAGUAAUGUAACAAUAGCUGUAAUGAGGAGUCAGAAGGAUAUUGUUGUAAUAAAAUCUGAAAUUGUGAUUAGGAGCUCGUAGCAAACUCUUUGACAACACUGACAGCAAUCUGUUGCUGAAUGAAAGCUUGGCAUAGACUGGGGCAGUGAAGGAGAAAUGGUAGGGAGAUUGCUUCUCAUUUGUCAUGGGAUCCAUCCAGCCAAGAAACUUCACCAUUUUAUUUCAGGUCUGGAAGCAGCAUAGCUGCAGCUGAUUUCAUACAAGGACCCUUGCUGUUGUUAGGGUUUUGUGCAAUAUUUCCUCGUACAUGUGUAUGUGCAGACUGUUUUGUUGAACAGCAUGGCAGGAGUUUUGGAACCAAAAUUUAUAGUACAAAUUAAAUACGUUUUGGGUAGCUGACACUUGAAAUGGAAAUAGUGGAGGAAAAUGAACAUAUUGAACCACCCACUUAAUGCUUACUCAUUCUGUUUCUUGACACACUCAGCUUCUGCUGGGUUUGCUGCAGCACAAAGAUUAGGAGAGCUGAUUCUUUGCUUCCUUGUCCCUUGUGUUCUUCAUUCUUGGCAUGAAUGUUGUCAUGUCUGUGGUCUUGGAAUCCUGCAAGGAAAGAUGAAAAUCAGAGAUGGACUCUGAUUGGGGUUUACUAGUAUCAGGCAGCUUUAUAACAUGACUAAGCAGGGUGUUAAUACUUUUUGUUCAAAUGAAACAAAAUCCAGAAAGAAAACACAAAUGCUCUAUGGCCUGAUUCUGAGAAGCGUUCUGCAAGUGUUUGCUCCCCCUGUCUACUUCUAUGAGAAAAGACACAUUGCCAGAACAGCAGCGUAACGUACUAUUCACACUUAAACAACAAGCUGAGGAGAGCUUAAGGGAUGCAUGUCUCUCCAUUUAAGAAUAUGUUACACACAAAAAGACCUUACAGAAAGACCUUGGGUCAGGUUGCCAAGUCAAGCCCUCAAAGUGUAGCUACUUGUAUACAAUUGUCUUUUGGAGGGAGGUCAGGAAAGUGCUUAAGUGUUAGCAAAGCAACUUAAUUUUUCCUAGCUUUACUCUUGGACCCGCUGAAUUAUUUUAAUACUUACGAAUUUUUUUCUUCUUUAAAAACAUGUACCUGAUGGGGGAAAAUGUCAGCUCACAGAGCUGAAAGCUGGCAAAUGUAUAAGCAGUUGAAAAAAAGAUAAGCUCUUGCUGAUGAGUAAAAUUAGGAAUGGAUGGUUUCAUCAUGCUGGCUUUCAGUGUGCAUGACUUCUGAACAUGCAGUUCAAAGAGCUCUAAAGUUUCCUCAGCACUCUAUAUUUAGUCAGCUUUUACCUAUCAGCAGCCUAAUCUGCUGAAAAAAUCUUGAUUAUGAUCUCAAGAAAGUCAGCAUCCGUUUGUUUUCUCUUUCAGUUUGCUCCCUGUGUGCGCAAGUGAGGCUGAUAUCCUUGGAUUCAUGCUUUCACGAACAAUGUAUUUGCAUUGAGAUUAUGAGACUUUUACAUGCUGGAAAAAAAAAUGAAAUGAGGCGUCUAAACCCAACUGCAAAAGGCUCUGUCAUUGCAGCAUUAGGAGAGUUGUUUGUGGCUCCUCUCAAUCCUAUUGUAUCUAAAAAAUAGCUUCUACUGAAGUUUUAGGGGUGAGCAAGGUAGUAAUUUUGCUCACACGCGUGCAUAACUUUGUUGUUUGUUUUCUAUUUUAUAGGCAGUAAACUGGAAAAAAACUUUAGUCUGAAGAAUGCAAAGAAAACGUGAUGUUGAGUUCAUUAAGUUGUUGUUUGCUUCCGAGGUUUUGUCUGAGAACCUCAGCUCUGUCAGCAGUGAGCACUGGUUUACCACGUGAAAUGAAUGUUGGCCCGCAAAGCCACUACUGCAGUGAUAAACUGGUUGGCUCUGAUGGUAGUGUAUUGAAAGUCAAGGUGAUGCAUGGGCACAGCUUAAUUCUUUGUUCACAAUGGAGAAUUUCACCCUAGAAGCAGAGUGGUCUUUCUCUUAAGACUAGAGCUGUUUCUUUUUAAUGAUCUGGGAGCAAAAGUAAGACUUACAUAUUACUUCCUCGCUAUUUACUCAGCACACUUCAUAGGGUUAUUGUAAAGUUCUUACAGAAUUCUUAGAAUCAGGAGGAGGGAGAUAUUGCUCGUAUCUUCAAAGUCAUCUUUCUUGCACUCACGCUUCUUUAAAAAAUAAAUUUUCAAGCAAUCAUGUUUAAAAGUAGGUAAAUGAAAGCACAUUUCCAUUUCUUACAACCCUACUGGUGGUUUUGUUAAAACCAAAACAAAAGCGUUAAAAAUUGAUCAGUAGUAGUAGUAAAAGAUAUAAAGCAAAAUCUCCACAUGUUGUUUGUGAUGGUGCUUUGAUAUUGUGUGCAUAAUUCUGUGCAAAAAGCUAUUUUUAUUUUUCAGCCCAGGCACCUUGUAUUAUUCACCAUAAUUUAAAAUAAUUAAGUCUCACUUAUUGCUAGUAACAAAAAUCUGAGGUAAUUUUGCCAGAGUGAUGCUGAAUAGCUCAUUUUUUCAGAUUUACUCAUUUGUGUUUAAUGUAGCUAUUUCAUCUUAAAUUAUUAAGAAGCCUGAGAUACGUAAAGUUCUGUUUUUAAAACAGUGUUUAUUAAUAGACUUGCUUGCUCUUUGACUUAAUGCAACUAAUUAAAUUGUUAUUAGGUUGCUAAUGUGGAAGACAAAACUAUCCUGGAGCAUAGAAUUGCUUGAGGAGAUCUUAGACAAGCCAUGCAUACAAAGUUAAGGAUACCUUGGGGACUUCAGUGCUUUGCAGGAUGUGACUGUUGCGCUGUCACGUCUUGAAAUGAAGCAAUGCCAGGAAAGCCAAAAUUACUGAGGGCUUUAGUCCUUACUUAAGGCCACUAGGGGUAGGAUAAUUGAAUGUGGAUGUUUCCUGGUUUGGGACUUCUUCUCUGGAUCUUUGGCAGUCACCAGAGUCUGAAUUUGAGCAGCUGGGUAGGAUUAGGUUGACUGUGAGCAUUUAUUUAUACAAGGAAAGAAUUAUCUCUUUUUCUGCCCUCAUUGUGCAGAGCUCUGAGGAAAUCAUGUGCUGCUGCCUCCUCUGCUGAUAGAGGGUAGGGUUUUGUCCAGUUACUUCUAUCAGCAUCACAGCUGAAACUGUGCCUGGAUGUUAGGAAGUGGCUGCUGAGACUGUACCUUCCUGCAAGUCCUGCUCCCCUGCUUUCUUUAGAGGCACGAGGGAGCACCGAGCCCACCUCUUUACAGGCUUCUUCACGAUUCCAGCCAACACCAAGGAGCUCUGGUGGCACAAAAGCUAGUGGGUUGUUGCAGUGCUGCCUUGGCUGGGUAUCUCCCAUCUCCCCCUGCAUUUUCCUUCCACAUAAGCAAUAAUAAUAAUAAUAAAUAAUAUUCUACCGCUGCUCCUUUAAACAACAACAACAAAACAAAAAGAAACCCAAAACAACAUAAUUGUACUCUUCUCUCCCCACAUCUUGGAAGUGAUCCCCCUGGCAACGACCAGCUAAUUGAUAGAGUGACAUGGUGGCCCCAAUAAUAUGUAUUGUCACAUCUAAAGAAUAACUUUUCAGUGACAGCAUGCCAUUAGUUCCUGCACGUACCUUGAGUGGAGGUGCACUCCUCUUGAGGAGAAGAGCUGAAUGGUCAUGAAGUGAACAAAGCCAUCCCAAAAUGGAGAUGAAGAAAACUUGAUUUUCUUAUGUGUGGAGUAGAGGUAGCUAGCUGCUUUGGUGCAGAAAUCAGAUGAUCUAUUUCAAGUUUUAAUUUGUUAUGAAAUGCACCACGGUCACGGUAGAAUUUAAGUAGUAAUUGAUCAUGGCGGAUUAAGUGCUAAUGUGGCAUAAAGCCUGGUUUUGGUGACGUUCACUUGCCUGAAUAUCUAAGAUGCAGAAAAAAGCCAUUAAGAAACCUAUUUACUUUUACUAAUCUUUGCUGUUCUUACUAAUUUCUUAUCCUUUACAAGAGCCAGGAUAGAAGAAAAUAGAUGAAUAGCAAUUUGUUUGUAAGGAGUUUAUUUCCUCAUACAAGGUGCAAAAAAGUGGGAAAACAUCUGAUUCUUGUGAGUUUUCUUGCAAUCACAUUAUCUCAUUUUAAAAUGUUUUUCUUGUAAGCUGUGUGAAAAAUCCAUAUACAGCAAAGGAAACUGAUGGAUACUCCUCAAGGGAGUAGUUCUGGCUAUGAUCAAACUGUUUUCAAAUGUACACUGUAAACAAACUGAAAAUUUAAGAUUUCCACGUGCUUAAUUGUUCUUUGAUGGCAGUAUUGGAAGAAAACUUGUGAUGACAGUGGUGAGAUAUUUCCCCAAAAGGGAAGGAGUUCUAAAGCAGAGACAGCAUUGUCACCUACUAGUGCUGCAUCAGUGUCCUCUAGUUUUCCAAGCCCUCUAGCCCCAACCUUGGGAAUUAUCAGGCUGAUAAGAUGAAGCAAGUCUUGGGAGAAUUUGGUGGGGAAGUGAGGCCGUUUUCCCCUGUGAAUGGUGGAGUUGAUCUCUUGCUUACCUGACUUAGCAUUUUGUUUCUAGUGACAAGUAUCAGCGUGUCUCCAUAAGGAUUUGCCUGGGUUCAGUUGGCUAUGUGUGGGCCAGGGAUCUAAAAUGUUACAUGGUCAGUCUUGAGAUAAAUUUUCUCUCUCUAACUUUUUUAACUUAUGUCUUUAACUCUUUACAGCCGCCUGGAGUUGUGGACAGGCCACCAGAGCUCCAUGCAAAUGUGCUCCUCCACUGGGUGCUGGCUCUGCCAGGUUUCUGAGUAUUGCAAGAGCCUCAGGGCAGAGCAGCACACCUGCUGCGGUUUGAUUUCUGGAUUUUUCUCUGCUGUGGAGGCUGAAGUGUUGGUGUUUUGUUUGCAGCCUGGCAGAGAGAGCAUGUGCAUUAAAGGAUGAUGUUUUAGGACUGGCUCCAAACCAGAGUGCAGUGAAUAUCCUUUUUGUGGCUCUGUUUAGGGUAUUUGAGGCAAGAGUGUGGCCAAACCCAGUCAAAAAUCCAUAAAAAGCAUUUCCAGCUCUGUUAAAUGAGUUGUGUUCCCUUUCUGUUCCAGUUUUUCUUUUUUUCCUUGAGAGCAAAAAGCAUAGCAAAGAGUGGGUGGUGAGUAGCCCUUCUCUCAGCCUGCUGAUGUAUUCUUUGAAACCUUUGGCAGGAAAGAUAUUGCCUAAACAGUUGAAGUUUGAAGUAGCUUAGAGCCACCAGAACAUGGGAAGCUAGUUAGUUAUGUGAUUCCAGCUUCAUGUGUGCUUCUUCCUCCCUGACUGUGUACCCAGGGCUACUCACUGGCUGUAGCACAGAGAUGAACUUUUGGAUGGAAAUUGGCUAUCUGGGCUGAUGGCAGAGGCACUGCCAGGUGAAGAUCUGCAGCAUGGUAUUGGCAUGUCUGCUGUCCAGACCUGUAUGGUUGCUGUCAGGUUGUUUACUGAAAGUAGCGUUUUAAGAAACUCUUGAGAUAAAAUUUCUUCUUUAGAAGAAACUCCUGCAGCUCUUGUGAACAAAGUAAUCCCUACAUCUUACUGGGUGCUGUUUCUAAUUUCUCCGAUUGAACUGUGAAUGAGAAAGAAAGCUUUUUGCUCAUAGGUAAAUAAGAUAGAGUUUAUAAACCUUUUUGUUUCAUUAAAGGCUACUGAGAGAAACAGUACAGCAUUGUUACCUCAGUACUCUGUGAUGUCAUCCUAUAUGCACAAAGGAAAACAUUCAGGCCUUCCUUCUUCUACAAGUUACUGUGGAGACAGUCAGCAGGAGCUGAGCUGGGCUGGUUUUGGUGCCAUUUGGCAAAAUUCACCCGAAUAUACCUGUUGUUUUGAUUAGCCUGAAGAACCAGUCCUGACAAAAUGAAUUGCUGAAAACCAAAGCUGAAACAUGUUAAGUGUGGUUCUGAUUUCAUAGGGAUAGGCAUGACUGAACCUGAGGACAAUGUGGCUCAGAAGUGGGCCUGUUAUCUCUAGGCUGGAAGCUCAAAUUCAAGCAAUUUGGAAGUCUGUUUCUAAGCAUAUGUCAUGGCUAGAUAAAACUUUUGGCGGUUCUAAGCAGUAUGGGAGACUACAGCAUUGUGAUCAUAGCCACUCGCUUAUCAAGAUACAGACAAGAAAAUGGGCUUGAACAUUCACUAAGCCAUGAAACAAAACUGCCCCCCCCAACAAAAACCCAAAAACCAUCCCAACAAAGAAACACAAAAACCCACCACCGCUACUACGAAAAAAAGCCUACUUGCAAAGGACUUUCUGGGUAUUACUGCUGCUUGUGGCAGAAGAGGAAGGCAAGUUGCAAAUACAUAUAAGAUGAUCCAUAUUUUGAACAUGGAAUGAAAACAUCAGUGUUGACGUCUUAUGCAUUUUGAAAAACAGAUUAGUGGAAAAGUGGUGUGAGUCAUGCAUGCAAUUUGUCUGAUUUAAACUUCAGUUAAAAUAACUGAGAACUGAGAAGGCAAGGAUUUACACAGAUCAAAAGGCCUGCUAUUGUAGAGCUGAAAAAUGGUGGUAUUGAGAUAAAAGGAGUUUACCCACUGCUGAUUUAGCAAUGGAAGGCUUAUUGACUUUUCACAGACAUCAAAUAAGUGUUCACUUGCUUUUUAAUUUAUUGACAGACUAACGAGCUGCAGGGCCUCCUUCUCGAAGCACACAGCCCAUCAGAGUGGUCCCAGAGCUGAGCAUUACCAGGCUCAGCCAACAGCCGCGCACUGCCUGACAUGAAGGUGGUUUGUCAGAAACACCAAUGAGCCAGGGCUGUAAGACGUAGGCUGCUCUGGGAAGGGCAGUUAGCUCUGUGACAGUGCUCAGGUUGUCAGUGAAAUGCCAGACUUAGUGAAGGGAUUGGCAUCUGUCCUCACCAUGUGUCUGAACUGAGAGCAAGCUCAGAAUGGCAGGCUUGAACAACUGUAUGCAUGUGCUAGAGAAAGCCAAGGGAUGAAGUGCUCAGACCUUAGUUGAGAUUUCAGCACUGAAGGUAGAACCCAGCUCUGCUGUGUAUAAACAAAAACUUUUUUUGCAUUUUUCAAUACCAGUAGAUUACCAAUACUUCUGUUUCUUUAGGGAGAUAACACCAUCCCUUAAGUGUCUUAAUUAGAAAAACUCAUUAGUAGGAAGGUAUUUUUUCUAAGAACUCCCUUUACUCAUUUGAAGAGAAGUAGUUGGAGACAGAGAGGUGAGUCAUUUUUGCUUGGCAUGCUGCUGCAGCGAUGGCAGCUGCCUUUAUGUUGUACUGACACUGGCUCUGCACCUUGAAACUAGUAUAAACCAUGCCUGGAAGAGGGCUUCAGAGCCAAAAUGUCACAGGUAAUCCUGCUGCUGCACUUCAUCUGCAAAUUAGUCUUGUGUGGGACCGGCCCUGAUAGUUCUGGGAGAAGAUAAAGCAAAGAAGUUUCUUAAAAACUUGUGUGUGUAUGCUAGUCACUUGUGUAUACAGAGUCCUGUGCCAAAUGAUUUUUGCCUGUUUGGUAGUGGAGAUUCUGCCAGGCUAUUUGGCACAUAUUUAAUCAAGGAUUAGAAGACAAAGGAAUUGUCUUUGAAAAGACAUAAGCAGUUAGAAAACGCCUUGGAGGUGCAUUGCUAUUGCUUUCUUCUUUGAUCUCCAGAUAGACCAAUUAUUUUUAUUCCUGUGUCUGCAGUUAUUAAUUGUGCUUAUUUAAUGUUUUAAGGAGGAGCACUGUUUUACGUGUAAUUAACAAUAAAAGUGUGGUGAUACCAUUGGUUUGCUCUUGAAUUAGGAAACUUGGGAAACUGUAGCUGCCACUUGCAAUGGUGAGUUCACUGUUUACAUCCGGUUCCUUGUCCAGGGUUUCAGCCUUAAUGACAGUGCCUAAAUGUAAAAUAUUACAAUUUAUAUUUAUUUCUUGUCUAUGGCAAAAUAUCCCCAAUGGUGAGAGGGGAGAGUUACGGAAAGAUCCAGAUUCCUAUGUAUGGUAAAAGAUGGGGGAGUUGUUACUGAUGCCCCAUUCCAUUUGUUUGAUGGAUCUGCUGUAAGCCACACUUGUAGCAUAAUUUUUAGAGGUUUGUAAUGUAAAAGAAUUCAGACAGUUUACCAUGAAGACUCAGUUUGGUAAACAAUUCUAGAAACCAGACUGCUGAAAUGAAACCUAACUAUUGAUUGAAUCCAAACAAAGUGUGUAGUGUGGUAAUCAGCUGUCUCAUAGAAGGAAAUGGAGCUGACAUACACCCUAGUAAAAGCAUUGGGAGGCUUAGUGCUUUGUGCAAAUACACAGUGCCCUUCACUUUGCUUGUAACUGCUUUGGUCUAGCUGUGGACUCGGGUAAAUAUUGCUCUCGGGAUUACACUUAAGCCACAUUUUCAAAAUUUCCAGCUUGAGAGCUACAUUUUCAUAAGCAGAAACUAAGAUAUAUAUAUAUAUAUACAUUUUGAAGUCAUCGCAUCUCUUUGAGCCAUGCUUAGAUGUGGUCCUCCUACAUUCAAUUUUUAAUUAUUUGUGAAGUGAUUUCUCUCCUAUUUGGACUAAGAGUGAAAUAGACUAGGGAUAUUUUCAGUAACACUUAUCUUGCGAAGAAUGCAGUUCAUUUUGUGUGCAGUGCUUAAAAGCCAGUAAAUAGCCUUGGCUUUUCUUUGAGACAGCAGAAUGCAGCAGUGGGGGCUGUUCGCCCUGAAUUAUAGCACAGACUGCAGGACUUGAUAAGAAAGCACUGUGUGGGAGCAAGAUAAAAUUACAUCCUUGGGAUUAUAUUAAAAGUACAUUUGUGAAAACUGUGUUUUCAUGGCACGGUUUGAUUUAACCUGUCCUUGAAGUCAUCACACCUCUCUUUGCCUCGUACUGUUUUAUCUUGCUUCACAGAUGGUGCAUGGGGAAAAUAAAGCACAGUGAUAAUGGUCAGUGUCUUGUGUAUUUGUAGCUGUGUGAGCAGCAGUUGCACACUGUGUUUAUAACCCUAGGCACUGCAUGAUUUUUAUAUUUAUCCCUGCUUUCCAGACCAGGAUUCCCACUGGGUACAAGGGCCUUUUAGGACUCAUGUCUUAGGAGCAACUGAGAAAAUGGUGUCUGUUUUUAGGAGUACCCUGCUGGAGCAUUGCCUCUGUAUCAGUAUUUUAGAAAUGACAGUUGGCUCAAAGUUAGGUUGUUAUGAAAACCAACAGUCACAUAGUGAAGCACUUGAAAGUAAACGUAGCUUUUAUACCUUAGUUAAAUAAAUAAGAAUUUGGAGUAGUUGCUGCUUGGAGCGUGAUGUGAUUCUUCUUGGUCAUAAAUCAAGGCAUAAGGAUUGCUUACUCUUCUUGUUACAUUAUGCUCAGGCUAUGAAAUCCUAUGCUUCUGAAGUCCUUCUCAGGGUUCCAGUGUCUGUGUGAGUUUGUUUAUUAAUGUAUAAUUGUAACCUAGUAUCCAUCUUCUCCGGGAGAAGAAGGAGAAAUUCAGGUGUUGUCUGGCUUCUUACCAUGGGCUUGUCCUGUAGAUCCAGAUUGUGUUGUUUUUCUUGGCUAGAAAUGAAUCAUUUCACUUUUAAAAAUGCACGCUCAAAUUCAACUCAGCCUGGAACUGAAUAAUUCCUAGUAAGAAGAAGGAUUCAGUCCCUUCAAUCUUGUAUGUUGUUGCUGUUAGAGCCUGGCCUGAAAAGAAGAGAAAAACAAAACUGGAAGUCUGUUUCUAAGCGUGUGCUGAAGUGAGUUUGCAGUAAGGAUUGUUUCUGGCUGGUUGGACUGCUGAUGCAUCUUUGUCUCUUCUGGGCUUCAUGUACCAACACUGUGAGCUGAAGAAUUAGAGACAUUCAACGUUUUACUGCAGAACUUAUUCAGAUAAAAACUGAUAGGUGGGUUAUGUGAUGCUGCACAGACUUUAGAGGGGCAUGUCUGAUGAGCCUUGUGCAUUUUAACUACUAUCACCACGACCUACACUCGGAUUAUGUGAUCUAAAUAUUUGAAGAUGAUAGAAGUAUAUUAUGGAUAGCAAGAACUAUGAUAAUUCAAACUUAUACUUAGCUUAAUCCAUGACUUGAAAUAGAUGUUAAUUUUAACCUCAUCUUGCAUGUGCACAUCUGCAACAGAAACAGACGUGGGGCCCAGAAAGCAUCCUGAUGAGGUGCUGUAUGACUUUUGUGAUAGCGGCCAGCCAGCAGUUUGACUUCUAAGAAAUACUGCUAAUGGUAAGAGAGUUUGACAAGGAGUCCUAUGUAAAGAUCAUACUUGAGCAGAGCCUCUCAGUCCCCUAGAGGCCUAACUCUAAAUGAGUGUAUAUAGUCUGAGUAUCUCUGUCUGCAAGAGGGGAACAGUGUUUGAUCUGCAUUCAGGGAAGAGUUCCCGUGGCUUCAACUGCUUUAGCUCAAAGCAGUGAGGUUGGAGGGACACAAAACCAUUCCCUUCCUUAAAGGGCUUCUUAACAAUCUUACUGCUACUUUCACCUUAUUUUCUUGUAAGCUUAUAAAAUGGUUUGCCAUCUCUGCAAGGAAAGCUCUGCUGCUGUUUAAUUACUAUUGUGAUGCUACUAGGAAAGAGAAGUUGGUGUUCAUCCCUUUCCCAGUUUGAUUUUGAGCUACUCCCUUUUUCUGUUUCUCCUCCUUCCAUUUCUACCAGUGACCAUAAAGCAGUCAGUCUUCUAUGAAGUCAAAAUUAAAGAUUGAUUAAAGGCAAGAACUAUACCAAGACUUCCUAUGAGAACCAUAAUAAAAUUGAAAUGGUAUUUUCUUCAAUGCUCUGUAUCCACUGAAGUUAUUCCUUUAAGUAAGAAAAUGGGUUGUUACUGUCAGCAUUUGUCAUGCAUGGUGAGAGGGUAUGAAUUUGAAGUCCAGAUGGGUUAAGACUGUGAUGCAGGACUCCCAGGGCUGUGCUGCUCAGGAGAACUGUAUUCAACAUGUUUCAAAAUGUUGUCCCAGGGUGAAUGGAAUGCAUACUAAUUAAGUGAAAAUGGAAACAGACCUUUCAGACUUCUCUUUUUAAUCACUGAGCUGUGGUAUUUUGUUUUCCCUUAAGCACUGGCUGUCUUGCCUGCUAUGGCAAGGGCUAGAGCAGGGGCUGGUGGAAAUCAGGAGCAAAUGUGCUGAAACUGCUGAAGCUAGUGAGUGCUCAUUGGGCUUGUGAGUCUAGAGCACUGUAAACCUGAGUAAAGAAACACUCAUAGCGGCACAUUGCAUUGCCCCUGCUUAAAAGGAGGGUGAUGAGCCUUCUUCCUUUCCUUUUUCACAAGGUAAGGUCAAGGGGCCAUUUGCUACUGACCCCGUGGAGUUUGGGGUCCUUGGGGGAAGGCAGAGAAGAAGCUGUUGUGGUACAUCUGAGCUUGCAUACAGGUUCUAGCAUCUGGGCCCUCCUACUGCCUCCCACCCAUCACUUCGGGCACCCUAUUUAGGACUGAAAUCAUCCAAGCUUUCAGUCAUCUCUGGAGUGGCCUGGGCUGGGGUGAGGGAUUGGUGGUGGGAAGAGCUGAGCCAGGGCAGGGAGCUGGGGAGAGCGGCAGACGAGGAGACAUGGUUGACCUUCCCAGAAGGACAGCAAAUUGGGGUGAGGGAUGGAGCCUGUUCCCAUUGCCUUCUCCAUUCAGCAAAGGAACAAAAAGGAGAAAAAGAACUCUGCUUAGGUUGAAGACCAGGUUUCAACCAGGGAUGUCUGUUGACCAGGCUGCUAGGAACUACUUCUAAGGGAUCUGUGAAUGAUAAAAACAAGUUUUCUAUCAAAGGGCUUCAAGUACAUUUCAGAGCACUAGUGCUAUUGGAGAAGGUGUAGGAGGAGUAGAAGUUGGAAAAAAGUUUGAAAACCACUAUUCAUACAAAACUGUUUUGCCUGGUACUUUAUCAGCGUUCAUUUCCCUUUUAUGCUUUAAUUAGGCAUGUGACUGGGAGAGGAGUGGAUAUGCCAUUUUUGCAUGCUCCCUGCUACUUGUUGUCAGAAUAAGUGUGUUCCUGUUGCUGACGGGCUGAGGGUGGCACAUACCAAGAUACAAUCACUUUCACUGGAGUGAAAGAUCGGCCUGACUCAGUGCUUUUGUUUCUAAUUAUGUAUUUGCUCUCUCCACCUCCUCCAGGGCAUCUGGUUUAUGCUCUGAGCAAUGUGGUGGUUCAUAUUAAGUGUUCUUUACUGUGCUACUUAAUUUAGGUGUUCAAAAACAUGUUAAAUGCUAUGUUGAACACUAACUUGUUAGACAGAUGGGCUAGAUCGUGGUUGUGGCUGCUGGCACUGUUCACUUCCUUGUAGAAUGUAUCACUCCAAUUUCUGCAGUAAAUGCAGAAAAGAGGUCUGAACU
This is a long non-coding RNA of Numida meleagris (helmeted guineafowl), 12395 nucleotides long. RefSeq lists it as uncharacterized. NCBI's taxonomy places the organism in Eukaryota, Metazoa, Chordata, Aves, Galliformes, Numididae. The record is from RefSeq and is a predicted model, not a curated record. The transcript is spliced from 5 exons.